GGUCAAUGGCCUAACGGCUGAACUGGCAACUUGGAGAAGUGGCAAGUCUUCCAGUAUGGGGAGCAAAACAGCUAUGGGUCAAGUCCGAUAUCUUUAGGAGAAGUCUUAUUGUGAGGGCGAGUUAUAUAACACCAUAGGACUGGCCGUCCCAUAUGAAAAGAUUAUAUUAGAAUUGAAUGAAGCUUUGUUUAUAUAUUGAUAAUGACAGUAUAUAUAUCGUGUCUUGACUAAUUGCGUGCCAGCAGUCGCGGUAAUACGUAAGAGACUAGUGUUAUUCAUCUUAAUUAGGUUUAAAGGGUACCCAGACGGUCAAUAUAGCUUAUAAAAUGUUAGUACUUGACUAGAGUUUUAUGUAAGAGGGCAGUACUUGAGGAGGAGAGAUGAAAUUUCGUGAUACCAAAGGGACUCUGUAAAGGCGAAGGCAGCCCUCUAUGUAAAAACUGACGUUGAAGGACGAAGGCACAGAGAACAAACAGGAUUAGAUACCCAAGUAGUCUUUGCAGUAAAUGAUGAAUGCCAUAGGUUAGAUUGGUCAAUUAUAGUCUAGGGUUAGUCUAGCAAACUAAUACCCUAUGCUAUAAUCCUAAUAUCUGGUCUAUAAAUGAAAGUGUAAGCAUUUCACCUCAAGAGUAAUGUGGCAACGCAGGAACUGAAAUCACUAGACCGUUUCUGACACCAGUAGUGAAGUAUGUUAUUUAAUUCA
RNAcentral lists this ribosomal RNA (703 nucleotides) under Fusarium oxysporum. Its description in RNAcentral is "SSU rRNA". It matches the Rfam family "Bacterial small subunit ribosomal RNA", at positions 366 to 953 of the family's 1533-position model. Lineage: Eukaryota; Fungi; Ascomycota; Sordariomycetes; Hypocreales; Nectriaceae. The record is from RNAcentral.